Molecule: ribosomal RNA, 492 nt
Filed under: uncultured bacterium
Lineage: Bacteria
Description: partial 16S ribosomal RNA
Rfam family: Bacterial small subunit ribosomal RNA
Source: RNAcentral
AGUGAACGCUGGCGGUCGGCCUAACACAUGCAAGUCGAACGGCAGCACAGUAAGAGCUUGCUCUUACGGGUGGCGAGUGGCGGACGGGUGAGGAAUACAUCGGAAUCUACUUUUUCGUGGGGGAGAACGUAGGGAAACUUACGCUAAUACCGCAUACGACCUACGGGUGAAAGCAGGGGAUCUUCGGACCUUGCGCGAUUGAAUGAGCCGAUGUCGGAUUAGCUAGUUGGCGGGGUAAAGGCGCACCAAGGCGACGAUCCGUAGCUGGUCUGAGAGGAUGAUCAGCCACACUGGAACUGAGACACGGUCCAGACUCCUACGGGAGGCAGCAGUGGGGAAUAUUGGACAAUGGGCGCAAGCCUGAUCCAGCCAUACCGCGUGGGUGAAGAAGGCCUUCGGGUUGUAAAGCCCUUUUGUUGGGAAAGAAAAGCAGCAGGUUAAUACCCCGCUGUUCUGACGGUACCCAAAGAAUAAGCACCGGCUAACUUCGUG